RNAcentral lists this ribosomal RNA (478 nucleotides) under uncultured bacterium. Its description in RNAcentral is "partial 16S ribosomal RNA". It matches the Rfam family "Bacterial small subunit ribosomal RNA", at positions 28 to 523 of the family's 1533-position model. The record is from RNAcentral.
GACGAACGCUGGCGGCGUGCUUAACACAUGCAAGUCGAACGGAAAGGCCCUUCGGGGUACUCGAGUGGCGAACGGGUGAGUAACACGUGGGUGAUCUGCCCUUCACUUUGGGAUAAGCCUGGGAAACUGGGUCUAAUACCGAAUAUGACCGCGCACUUCCUGGUGUGUGGUGGAAAGCUUUUGCGGUGUGGGAUGGGCCCGCGGCCUAUCAGCUUGUUGGUGGGGUAAUGGCCUACCAAGGCGACGACGGGUAGCCGGCCUGAGAGGGUGACCGGCCACACUGGGACUGAGAUACGGCCCAGACUCCUACGGGAGGCAGCAGUGGGGAAUAUUGCACAAUGGGCGCAAGCCUGAUGCAGCGACGCCGCGUGGGGGAUGACGGCCUUCGGGUUGUAAACCUCUUUCAAUAGGGACGAAGCGCAAGUGACGGUACCUAUAGAAGAAGGACCGGCCAACUACGUGCCAGCCGCCGCCGUAA